This 62-nucleotide transfer RNA is filed under the name Mytilus californianus (California mussel). Its description in RNAcentral is "tRNA-Ser". Lineage: Eukaryota; Metazoa; Mollusca; Bivalvia; Mytilida; Mytilidae. The record is from RNAcentral.
GACCAGUAAAAGAAUUGAUUUGAAAUCAACUAAUUAAACGCGUGGCCCGUGUUUGCUGGUUU